UCAGCCGGCCGGGCGGCCGCUCCGGGCUCGCGCCCGGGGAGGAAAGUCCGGGCUUCAUGGAGAGACGGUGCCGGAUAACCUCCGGCGGGGGCGACCCCAGGGACAGUGCCACAGAGAGCAGACCGCCCCGCGACAGGCUCAAGCCUCCGCGGGGUCAGGGUGAAAGGGUGCGGUAAGAGCGCACCGCGGACGCGGCAACGCGGACGGCACGGCAAACCCCACCGGAAGCAAGACCGAAUAGGGGCGGCGCGCCCCGCGACGCGGGGCAGGCCGGCUCUCCAGGCCAGUCGCCCGGGUUGGUUGCUCGAGGCGGUCGGCGACGACCGUCCCAGAGGAAUGGCCGCCACGUCCGCGAACGCCUUCGGGCCGAGCGGGCCCUACAGAACCCGGCUUACAGGCCGGCUGAUCCG
RNAcentral lists this RNase P RNA (410 nucleotides) under Methylobacterium amylolyticum. RNAcentral's name for it is "RNase P RNA component class A". It matches the Rfam family "Bacterial RNase P class A". Rfam says of the family: Ribonuclease P (RNase P) is a ubiquitous endoribonuclease, found in archaea, bacteria and eukarya as well as chloroplasts and mitochondria. Its best characterised activity is the generation of mature 5'-ends of tRNAs by cleaving the 5'-leader elements of precursor-tRNAs. Cellular RNase Ps are ribonucleoproteins. Lineage: Bacteria; Pseudomonadati; Pseudomonadota; Alphaproteobacteria; Hyphomicrobiales; Methylobacteriaceae. The record is from RNAcentral.